This 1000-nucleotide ribosomal RNA is filed under the name uncultured organism. Its description in RNAcentral is "bacterial SSU rRNA". It matches the Rfam family "Bacterial small subunit ribosomal RNA", at positions 356 to 1376 of the family's 1533-position model. The record is from RNAcentral.
GGGGGAUAUUGCGCAAUGGGGGCAACCCUGACGCAGCAACGCCGCGUGAAGGAUGAAGGUUUUCGGAUUGUAAACUUCUUUUAUUAAGGACGAAAAAUGACGGUACUUAAUGAAUAAGCUCCGGCUAACUACGUGCCAGCAGCCGCGGUAAUACGUAGGGAGCAAGCGUUGUCCGGAUUUACUGGGUGUAAAGGGUGCGUAGGCGGCUUUGCAAGUCAGAUGUGAAAUCUAUGGGCUCAACCCAUAAACUGCAUUUGAAACUGUAGAGCUUAAGUGAAGUAGAGGCAGGCGGAAUUCCCCGUGUAGCGGUGAAAUGCGUAGAGAUGGGGAGGAACACCAGUGGCGAAGGCGGCCUGCUGGGCUUUAACUGACGCUGAGGCACGAAAGCGUGGGUAGCAAACAGGAUUAGAUACCCUGGUAGUCCACGCUGUAAACGAUGAUUACUAGGUGUGGGGGGUCUGACCCCUUCCGUGCCGGAGUUAACACAAUAAGUAAUCCACCUGGGGAGUACGGCCGCAAGGUUGAAACUCAAAGGAAUUGACGGGGGCCCGCACAAGCAGUGGAGUAUGUGGUUUAAUUCGAAGCAACGCGAAGAACCUUACCAGGUCUUGACAUCCAACUAACGAAGUAGAGAUACAUUAGGUGCCCUUCGGGGAAAGUUGAGACAGGUGGUGCAUGGUUGUCGUCAGCUCGUGUCGUGAGAUGUUGGGUUAAGUCCCGCAACGAGCGCAACCCUUGCUAUUAGUUGCUACGCAAGAGCACUCUAAUAGGACUGCCGUUGACAAAACGGAGGAAGGUGGGGACGACGUCAAAUCAUCAUGCCCCUUAUGACCUGGGCUACACACGUACUACAAUGGAUGUUAACAGAGGGAAGCAAGACAGCGAUGUGGAGCAAACCCCUAAAAACAUUCUCAGUUCAGAUUGCAGGCUGCAACCCGCCUGCAUGAAGAUGGAAUUGCUAGUAAUCGCGGAUCAGCAUGCCGCGGUGAAUACGUUCCCG